Molecule: ribosomal RNA, 454 nt
Filed under: uncultured Allobrachymonas sp.
Lineage: Bacteria; Pseudomonadati; Pseudomonadota; Betaproteobacteria; Burkholderiales; Comamonadaceae
Description: bacterial SSU rRNA
Rfam family: Bacterial small subunit ribosomal RNA
Source: RNAcentral
GCACAAGCGGUGGAUGAUGUGGUUUAAUUCGAUGCAACGCGAAAAACCUUACCCACCUUUGACAUGGCAGGAAUCCCGAAGAGAUUGGGAGUGCUCGAAAGAGAACCUGCACACAGGUGCUGCAUGGCUGUCGUCAGCUCGUGUCGUGAGAUGUUGGGUUAAGUCCCGCAACGAGCGCAACCCUUGCCAUUAGUUGCUACGAAAGGGCACUCUAAUGGGACUGCCGGUGACAAACCGGAGGAAGGUGGGGAUGACGUCAAGUCCUCAUGGCCCUUAUAGGUGGGGCUACACACGUCAUACAAUGGCUGGUACAAAGGGUUGCCAACCCGCGAGGGGGAGCCAAUCCCAUAAAGCCAGUCGUAGUCCGGAUCGUAGUCUGCAACUCGACUACGUGAAGCCGGAAUCGCUAGUAAUCGCGGAUCAGCAUGUCGCGGUGAAUACGUUCCCGGGUCUU